This 444-nucleotide ribosomal RNA is filed under the name uncultured bacterium. RNAcentral's name for it is "bacterial SSU rRNA". It matches the Rfam family "Bacterial small subunit ribosomal RNA", at positions 19 to 507 of the family's 1533-position model. The record is from RNAcentral.
AGUGCUCAGAACGAACGCUGGCGGCAUGCCUAACACAUGCAAGUCGAACGUAGACCUUCGGGUCGUAGUGGCGCACGGGUGCGUAACGCGUGGGAAUCUGCCCUUAGGUUCGGUAAUAACUUCGGGAAACUGAAGCUAAUACCGGAUGAUGACGUAAGUCCAAAGAUUAUCGCCUAAGGAUGAGCCCGCGUAGGAUUAGCUAGUUGGUGAGGUAAAGGCUCACCAAGGCGACGAUCCUUAGCUGGUCUGAGAGGAUGAUCAGCCACACUGGGACUGAGACACGGCCCAGACUCCUACGGGAGGCAGCAGUGGGGAAUAUUGGACAAUGGGCGAAAGCCUGAUCCAGCAAUGCCGCGUGAGUGAUGAAGGCCUUAGGGUUGUAAAGCUCUUUUACCCGGGAUGAUAAUGACAGUACCGGGAGAAUAAGCUCCGGCUAACUCCGUG